AGAGUUUGAUCAUGGCUCAGAUUGAACGCUGGCGGCAGGCCUAACACAUGCAAGUCGAGCGGUAGCACAGAGAGCUUGCUCUCGGGUGACGAGCGGCGGACGGGUGAGUAAUGUCUGGGAAACUGCCUGAUGGAGGGGGAUAACUACUGGAAACGGUAGCUAAUACCGCAUAAUGUCGCAAGACCAAAGUGGGGGACCUUCGGGCCUCAUGCCAUCAGAUGUGCCCAGAUGGGAUUAGCUAGUAGGUGGGGUAACGGCUCACCUAGGCGACGAUCCCUAGCUGGUCUGAGAGGAUGACCAGCCACACUGGAACUGAGACACGGUCCAGACUCCUACGGGAGGCAGCAGUGGGGAAUAUUGCACAAUGGGCGCAAGCCUGAUGCAGCCAUGCCGCGUGUGUGAAGAAGGCCUUCGGGUUGUAAAGCACUUUCAGCGGGGAGGAAGGCGUUAAGGUUAAUAACCUUGGCGAUUGACGUUACCCGCAGAAGAAGCACCGGCUAACUCCGUGCCAGCAGCCGCGGUAAUACGGAGGGUGCAAGCGUUAAUCGGAAUUACUGGGCGUAAAGCGCACGCAGGCGGUCUGUCAAGUCGGAUGUGAAAUCCCCGGGCUCAACCUGGGAACUGCAUUCGAAACUGGCAGGCUAGAGUCUUGUAGAGGGGGGUAGAAUUCCAGGUGUAGCGGUGAAAUGCGUAGAGAUCUGGAGGAAUACCGGUGGCGAAGGCGGCCCCCUGGACAAAGACUGACGCUCAGGUGCGAAAGCGUGGGGAGCAAACAGGAUUAGAUACCCUGGUAGUCCACGCCGUAAACGAUGUCGAUUUGGAGGUUGUGCCCUUGAGGCGUGGCUUCCGGAGCUAACGCGUUAAAUCGACCGCCUGGGGAGUACGGCCGCAAGGUUAAAACUCAAAUGAAUUGACGGGGGCCCGCACAAGCGGUGGAGCAUGUGGUUUAAUUCGAUGCAACGCGAAGAACCUUACCUGGUCUUGACAUCCACAGAACUUNUUGGUGCCUUCGGGAACUGUGAGACAGGUGCUGCAUGGCUGUCGUCAGCUCGUGUUGUGAAAUGUUGGGUUAAGUCCCGCAACGAGCGCAACCCUUAUCCUUUGUUGCCAGCGGUUAGGCCGGGAACUCAAAGGAGACUGCCAGUGAUAAACUGGAGGAAGGUGGGGAUGACGUCAAGUCAUCAUGGCCCUUACGACCAGGGCUACACACGUGCUACAAUGGCAUAUACAAAGAGAAGCGACCUCGCGAGAGCAAGCGGACCUCAUAAAGUAUGUCGUAGUCCGGAUUGGAGUCUGCAACUCGACUCCAUGAAGUCGGAAUCGCUAGUAAUCGUAGAUCAGAAUGCUACGGUGAAUACGUUCCCGGGCCUUGUACACACCGCCCGUCACACCAUGGGAGUGGGUUGCAAAAGAAGUAGGUAGCUUAACCUUCGGGAGGGCGCUUACCACUUUGUGAUUCAUGACUGGGGUGAAGUCGUAACAAGGUAACCGUAGGGGAACCUGCGGUUGGAUCACCU
RNAcentral lists this ribosomal RNA (1517 nucleotides) under Klebsiella pneumoniae. RNAcentral's name for it is "bacterial SSU rRNA". It matches the Rfam family "Bacterial small subunit ribosomal RNA". Lineage: Bacteria; Pseudomonadati; Pseudomonadota; Gammaproteobacteria; Enterobacterales; Enterobacteriaceae. The record is from RNAcentral.